RNAcentral lists this ribosomal RNA (396 nucleotides) under uncultured eukaryote. Its description in RNAcentral is "SSU rRNA". It matches the Rfam family "Eukaryotic small subunit ribosomal RNA", at positions 587 to 972 of the family's 1831-position model. The record is from RNAcentral.
AGCUCCAAUAGCGUAUCUUAAAGUUGCUGCAGUUAAAAAGCUCGUAGUUGGAUCUCGGGAUCGAGCUGACGGUCCGCCGCGAGGCGAGCUACCGUCUGUCCCAGCCCCUGCCUCUCGGCGCCCCCUCGAUGCUCUUAGCUGAGUGUCCCGCGGGGUCCGAAGCGUUUACUUUGAAAAAAUUAGAGUGUUCAAAGCAGGCCCGGUCGCCUGAAUACCGCAGCUAGGAAUAAUGGAAUAGGACUCCGGUUCUAUUUUGUGGGUUUUCUUCUCUGAACUGGGGCCAUGAUUAAGAGGGACGGCCGGGGGCAUUCGUAUUGUGCCGCUAGAGGUGAAAUUCUUAGAUCCUUGGAAGACAAACAGCUGCGAAAGCGAAAGCAUUUGCCAAGAAUGUUUUCA